Molecule: non-coding RNA, 126 nt
Organism: Myotis davidii
Lineage: Eukaryota; Metazoa; Chordata; Mammalia; Chiroptera; Vespertilionidae
Source: Rfam
AGAACUAAAAUAUUUCAGUAGAAUAUUUAAAAGAAACUUUCCAUACAGGUGCUAACAAUGAAGCCUCUUUUGCAACCCAGAACUCAUUGCUCAGUUUGAGUUUUGAUACAUAUAAGAAGGAACAUG